CUAGUCUUACCAUCCAUUGUGAGCCUGGGAGAUUUGCGUGAUGGGACAGUUGCCCAGAAGGAUCACAAAACAUUAAUGGUGACCUCUCUGAUGGUGAAGACAGGGUUAGUACAUUCAAAAUCCAGGACACUAACCAGUGCAAUUCAGCUCAAGAACUAACACUUAACCACAUCACCAUGGCUCUCCAUGCUUGCCUAAGUUUAUACAUACAUCCAUCUUUGUUUCUCUCCUUGCCUCUCAUUUAUCGGACCAAUGAUACUGUGGAGAAAGUUAAAGAAGAGUUCCCCAGUGGUGGGAGUGGGGAGACUUUCCUUCCUUUCAAGGCAGUGAACCAGAGGCAGUGAAUCCUAGCUCUGCCACUUUUCAGCAAGUGACCUUGGGCCAAGUUAUUCAACCUCCCUCCUCUCCUCGGUUUCAUCAUCUGUAAAAUGGAGGUGCCACCAGCACCGACUUCAUUGGGUUUCCGUGAGUUAUGAGUUAAUGUUUUUGUAAAGUGGUUAGAGAAGUGAAUUUCUAUUACUAAAUUUGGACCCUCGGCUGUUUGAGGUGACUGGGGCAAAGUCUAGAGGGUGGGUAAAAGCAGGCACCAUCCUGUGGGAACACAGAAGGAAAGAGCCCUGGAGCCCAGACGGAGGAUGGG
RNAcentral lists this long non-coding RNA (640 nucleotides) under Homo sapiens (human). RNAcentral's name for it is "HSALNT0012376". The record is from RNAcentral. Lineage: Eukaryota; Metazoa; Chordata; Mammalia; Primates; Hominidae.